AUGGCCAGAGGCUACGCAGGCCGGCUCCAGGCCUUCUCCAAAGCCGCUCUUCUUGGUUUGGUCCUCUUAUCCAUGGUGACCUGGGUGCUGCAUGCAUGUUCUUGCCUGAGGGCCUUCCUCUUUGUGUCACUUCCUUCUGCUGCUUCAGCGAUCGCCACACCCAAGUGCCUCUUCAUCUUCUCCAACAUCAUCGUCCUCUUCCUCGCCACCGAGUGCAGGCUCUCGCGGAACGGUGCUCGAUCCACAAGCACUAGCGACGAUGACAUAGAUGCUGUGGUCCGUGAGCUUGUGGCUUUUACACACGCACUCAAAGAGACCCAUGCUGCAGAAGAGAUCGUCAAAGCAGAACAAGAAGUUAGUGUACGCAUGACCACGCAGCAGCUAGAUCAAUGUGAAAAGGAAGAAGAGAGUGACGUCGCACUGCUUAAUAAUUUAGGUGAUGACCUGCAAGAAGAGGUGAUGAAGGAAGAAGACUGUGAGGAGGCAACGGAGCUGCCUACCGAGGAGCUGAAUAGGAGAGUGGAAGACUUCAUUGCAAGAUUCAACAUGGAGAGGCAGCUCGAGGCAAGGAUGGUCGUGUGUUGCUGCUGA
RNAcentral lists this ribosomal RNA (591 nucleotides) under Triticum aestivum (bread wheat). RNAcentral describes it as "partial small subunit ribosomal RNA". Lineage: Eukaryota; Viridiplantae; Streptophyta; Magnoliopsida; Poales; Poaceae. The record is from RNAcentral.